RNAcentral lists this transfer RNA (69 nucleotides) under Nipponacmea nigrans. RNAcentral describes it as "tRNA-Glu". Lineage: Eukaryota; Metazoa; Mollusca; Gastropoda; Lottiidae. The record is from RNAcentral.
GUUGGUGUGGUGUAAAAUUGAGCACGGAGGAUUUUCAGUUCUAUGGUGUAAGAAAGCUUACCAUCAACU